This 1213-nucleotide ribosomal RNA is filed under the name Lactiplantibacillus plantarum. RNAcentral describes it as "bacterial SSU rRNA". It matches the Rfam family "Bacterial small subunit ribosomal RNA", at positions 67 to 1267 of the family's 1533-position model. The record is from RNAcentral. Lineage: Bacteria; Bacillati; Bacillota; Bacilli; Lactobacillales; Lactobacillaceae.
CUUGCAUCAUGAUUUACAUUUGAGUGAGUGGCGAACUGGUGAGUAACACGUGGGAAACCUGCCCAGAAGCGGGGGAUAACACCUGGAAACAGAUGCUAAUACCGCAUAACAACUUGGACCGCAUGGUCCGAGUUUGAAAGAUGGCUUCGGCUAUCACUUUUGGAUGGUCCCGCGGCGUAUUAGCUAGAUGGUGGGGUAACGGCUCACCAUGGCAAUGAUACGUAGCCGACCUGAGAGGGUAAUCGGCCACAUUGGGACUGAGACACGGCCCAAACUCCUACGGGAGGCAGCAGUAGGGAAUCUUCCACAAUGGACGAAAGUCUGAUGGAGCAACGCCGCGUGAGUGAAGAAGGGUUUCGGCUCGUAAAACUCUGUUGUUAAAGAAGAACAUAUCUGAGAGUAACUGUUCAGGUAUUGACGGUAUUUAACCAGAAAGCCACGGCUAACUACGUGCCAGCAGCCGCGGUAAUACGUAGGUGGCAAGCGUUGUCCGGAUUUAUUGGGCGUAAAGCGAGCGCAGGCGGUUUUUUAAGUCUGAUGUGAAAGCCUUUCGGCUCAACCGAAGAAGUGCAUCGGAAACUGGGAAACUUGAGUGCAGAAGAGGACAGUGGAACUCCAUGUGUAGCGGUGAAAUGCGUAGAUAUAUGGAAGAACACCAGUGGCGAAGGCGGCUGUCUGGUCUGUAACUGACGCUGAGGCUCGAAAGUAUGGGUAGCAAACAGGAUUAGAUACCCUGGUAGUCCAUACCGUAAACGAUGAAUGCUAAGUGUUGGAGGGUUUCCGCCCUUCAGUGCUGCAGCUAACGCAUUAAGCAUUCCGCCUGGGGAGUACGGCCGCAAGGCUGAAACUCAAAGGAAUUGACGGGGGCCCGCACAAGCGGUGGAGCAUGUGGUUUAAUUCGAAGCUACGCGAAGAACCUUACCAGGUCUUGACAUACUAUGCAAAUCUAAGAGAUUAGACGUUCCCUUCGGGGACAUGGAUACAGGUGGUGCAUGGUUGUCGUCAGCUCGUGUCGUGAGAUGUUGGGUUAAGUCCCGCAACGAGCGCAACCCUUAUUAUCAGUUGCCAGCAUUAAGUUGGGCACUCUGGUGAGACUGCCGGUGACAAACCGGAGGAAGGUGGGGAUGACGUCAAAUCAUCAUGCCCCUUAUGACCUGGGCUACACACGUGCUACAAUGGAUGGUACAACGAGUUGCGAACUCGCGAGAGUAAG